GCUGCUUAUGCCCACUGGGCUUUUCUCUUGGCUGUGUGUUCCUGGUCUCCGAGCCAUUCUGUGGCAAGGGGUUGGAGCUCGGUGAUCUUUGAGGUCUCUUCCAACCUAAGCCAUUCUGUGAUUCUGUGAUAUGAUUCUUUUGGCUUCAUGUUAUGGGUAUAGGCAACUACCCGUGAAGCGAUCACUGGUAUUGAAAGCUCUCAGCUCAAACUUUCUUUCUGGUCUACUGCUUGUCCACAUUUCUCAUCAUGACUAUAUGAUCCUUUAGAAAAUAAGGAAGGAACCAGAAGCCCCAGGGUGGCAUUACCUUUACAUUUCAGAUCCAUGGAACCGUUUGAGUUGGAAGGUACCCUUAAAGGCCAUCUGGCCCAACCCCUUGUACUGAACAGGGGCACCUACAGCUCCAUCAGGUGCUCAGAGCCCCGUCCAGCCUGACCUUGGGUGUCUCCAGGGACGAGGCACCACCACCUCUCUGGGCAACCUGUGCCAGUGCCUCACUACCCCUCAGUGUAGAAAACUUCUUCCUUAUAUCCAGUCUUAAUCUCCCCUCUUAUAGUUUGAAACCAUUUCCCUUGUCCUGUCACAUCAGACCCUGCUAAAAAAGCCCAUCCCCUUCUUUCUUACAGCCCCCCUUUAGGUACUGCUUUCCAGGGGUCAGCACCUCUUGCUGGGAAGAUGACACGUGGGGUCCCUUUUUUGCCUCUGCCCUCCCUUUGCCACAAGUGGCAAUCUUACCCUCUUUUUCCAUUCGCUCCAUGUGCUCUCCUCCUUGCAGUGGAGACGGUUUGUUACUGACUGCACGGAGGCAUUGCAAGGCUUAGCUGGGAGUCGGAAAAACUUUUCCAGAUCUUUAGUCAAGUCGUUUCAUGCAUCCACAGUAUCAGUGGCCUGCCACAUGGAUAUCAAAGAAAAUGAUUAUAAUUAUUGCUUUUAAAAUGAUUGUGAAAUUGUGCCUUACUUUUUCAGUCGUAUUUAACCGUCUAAUUUAGAACCACAUGAUUGCAGGGAUCGUAUCAUGAAGAAAUUUGUUUGAAGGAUAAUUUGUUUGUUUUUAAAGGUUUUUUUUCUUCAAAAACGAAUUUAUUAUUUUUUUCUUCUUUUACUGUUUCCUUUUUUUUUUUUUUAAUUUUCCUCCAAUUUUAUCCCUUUAAUAUGUUUGUGUAAAAAGGGCAGCCAGCAUUUGCAUUUGCGAGAGACAGAAGAUUUCAUUUGGUCUCGUAUGCAGAGCUUUCAUUUUCUUUUAUGUUCCUUCAGGAAAAUUCCUCUUUGCCCGAUUACUCAUACUUAGAUGUCUUUAAAUGCAGGCUGACCAGUGAGGGCUUUUUGUUGUUUAAUUUAGUGUGUGCUUUGCUCUGCGCUUUAUUCUGCUUUUUUUAAUUAUCCAGAUAUCGGGUGCUGGGGAGGCAUUGCACAUUAAUGCAGAAUGCUAAUGCUAUUUUUCAUAGAAAAGACAAAAUUAGAGUCUCUCCCUGUCUCCAGUGCAGUUUUAUUACUGUUUUGCGUACAACACCGAUAUUAAGCCAGACUGUAAAGGCAAAAUACUCAGUGACCUACUUCCAUUCACCAGCAAGAAGCCUUUGUCAGCUGACUCCUGUUUGUUUGUUCGUUUCUAAAUGUCGGAUUACAGAACGAGCAUCUCCCAAAGAUGAAAGAAAACAGUGUUUUCGUGCACAGGAAAUUUGGGGUUGCAGUAACAGAACAUUUUCUUUGUGAAUUUGGAUGUCGUGGUGUUUUAAGCCCCCGCCUGGAGCCUAAAUCAAUCUGGCCUCUCAUGCAGUUCAUCUCGUUGGUGCUCCUAAAAGGCUGCAGCCCUGCAAAAGCUCAUGCAGCAUUUUUGGCCGCUUUCCCUUGCUCCCAUUUGGUACAUAUUUGCACAAUUUAACUGAGCUUUUCUUUCUGCUGAAGGUCAGAUGCAAGUGAUACGAAACACUAAACUUUAUAAACAAGCAAAGCCAUUUUAACCACAGCGUUUUGGACAAGAAUGGGUUUUUAGGUGGCGUGCUGUCUGCUGGCCUUUGGAGGGAGGGGAUCCUGAGGGUGCAUUUGCCUGAAACAGGAUGCAAAGCCACAAGCCUUGGUUUCUUAAUAAACUGCUUACUGUAAUCCAGCUACACAGUUUCAGCCUCACACUUCAGAAGCAGCUUCCAGCAGCAGUGCACGUACAGGCACUUUCCCUCUUCCUUGCAGAAAGUGAAACUUUCCCAACCAGCGCAAAUUUAACCUAUUGCAUAAGAAGCUGGAAGUUUGCUUGUUUGGGUUUUUUCUUUUUUUUUUUCUCUUUGCACUUCUUUCUGUAACCUCUAUAAGCAAAGGAUGAAUAGCUUUUCUUUCUCCUUUUUUUUUUUUUUUUUUUUUGACAAGAUUAGAUGUUGCAUAUUGAUGAGCUUGCAUUUCAAAGUGCCUUUUGUUUCAGCUUAUCAGGACCGCUCUGUUCCCAUUUGUAUGCCCAGCACUGGUCCUGGUGUCUGCUAUGGUUUCCACAGGAGCUGUGCUGCAUGCAGGUGUGGAUGCAGCAUCUCGGAAAGCACAGGGCAGCUUUGCAACCUUGGCUUAAGAGGAGUGGUGUUUGGAGAAAUCCUUCCUUGGGGAUGCCCCAUUUGCCAUCUCUGUUGAAACUCCCAUUGAAGCUUUAGAUUAGGAUCAGUUAGGGCUGCAUAUACUCAGCUAUUUUCCCAUGUUAUCAACAUUCUCGUUUGCCUUCUCCUUGACAUCCCAUGCUGCAAACCGUGGUGUGCAGGGCAGCCUCCUAGGUCCUGCUCAUGUGCAGCCUUGACUUUUCCAAGUUCAAUCAGUGCCUGCUGCUUUUCCUUAGGACAGCUCUGGUUGGGCCAAGGGCAUCUCUACGCAAAAGGUGGUGCUUUCCUCUUCAGCUUACAAAUAAUGCCUCUUUUUCAGAUUCACCUUUCCCCUCUCACGUAUUCCUGACAGGAGCAGGGCUUUAAAUAUUUCAUAGCGUUCUUCUUUCUCCUCCUUUUUUGCCAGAUGCCUUGAAAACACUGUCAGAUUACGAUCUGGGCGGGAGUUUUCAGGAUCGAUUUCCUUUCCUCCUUGAUUGCGACGGUGUAGGUUUGCAGUGAGGUUUGCUGCUUGUUUUUGGUUUUCUUUUUACCUUUGACAGAACAGAUGCCUUCAGUUUAUGCAGUGAAAGAUUGACUAUGAUUAGAGCUAAUCCAGGAUGGCAGGAUUGGACCCCCACAGUGAAAUCUAGAAAAGUGAUUGCAAAAGUAUUUUGUUUCUCCUUUAUUAAUUACACAGGAAGUUUCCACAGAAGGCUCAUGUAACACUGCUGGCCUAUGUAAUAAGUAGCAGGGCCUGUAAUUACAGUCUGUCUCUGAUCCUAUCUGUGCUCUGGCUUUCUAGGCAUCGCAGUUCUAUUUACAUCUGUGUCUUUGUCACCUCUUAAAUUUUUCAUUGGUCACUGAGGGAAGAACAACACAAGCCGUGAGCCCUGCAGAGGUGCAGCAGCUCUGACCAAGGGAGUCCUCCACCUUCUCAUGUAUCUGCCUGAUUCGGGACACAGAAGAAAGAGAUUUUGACCAGCAAAGGGAGCAAGCUGCAUACCAGCUUUGUACCUUUCGGCAUCUCAGAGUCUUUGUAGGACUGGAAAAUCAAACCUAUUACAGGUCUUUACUAGUGUACCGUCCUGUGAGGGAGUUUAUACAUUGCUAUUUCCUUGCUCUGAGCAGAUUCUACUGGAUUUCAGCAUCCUUUUCUGUAAGAUUCAGGGUUUUAUGGUUGCAAAGAAACUUUCCAGAUAUGGCAGGAGGAGGAAGAUGGCUUUUAGCUGGGCUUCUCUGUGUGAUGCCGUAAGUGCUCUUAGCAGCGUAAAGCAGGAGUGGGAAUGGGGCAGCAGUGAUUUGUUCCAUUCCAGGUUCCCCAGCACUGAGCUCUGGUUGACGCAGCCCUGGGCAGCCCAGCUCCUGGUCCUGAAACCUGGUGCUGAGUGAGCUGGCACCUGGGGUGGAUGCUCAGUGCUGGUCACCCCACAGUCCCCUUCUUUCUUAAGAGAUACCUUCUAGAGUUAAACUACAGAAUGGUGCCCCCCAGCCUUUUUCUUAAGGCACUAUUCCCAGUGCUGUGUUUGAGCAUGAGGAGCAAAAGCCAUUGUGCAAACACUGUACACAGUGCAUAAAGAAAAAUUAACAAUCUACGAUGGAUAUUUUCAAUGUCCAUUACACUGUUAUGCAAAUUGUCCCUUUUCUGCAGCUAGCGCUGUUAAUUAUUUUGGGUUUGACUUUAUUAAAAAAUAAAAAAGCACAAUAAUUUUGUAUUUUUUCCUUACUACUUCUAAGAAAGUUGAUGCUUUAAAGGAAAAAAAAAAAAACAAAAAAAAAAACCCUUACUUUCAAACAUGGGUUUUUCAGGCUUCGAAAUUAAUAAUUUCUACACCUGACCCAGUUCUUGCAGCUGCCAAAAAAAGAAAAGAGAAAGCUAUUUAAAUUUCUCAUAGAACCAUUUAUCUCUUAAAAUAUGCCAAGGCAAUUUGAGGUGGGGGUGGAGACUCAGCUAUUUAUCUCAGCAGCUUGAUUUUUCUCUUUAUGUUUCUAACUGUCAGGGGAAAAAAACGGUAGGAAGCUAUUCUUGGGCUAUUAUUGAUGUAUUGUGUUGCCAUUAUGCAGGAUGUCUGCUUUGCUAUAUACGGAAGGACAUUAAUAAUAGCCAUCUUCCCUGCCCCCACCCUCGGUUCCUUUUAGGAAGAUGUGGUUUAAACUGGAGCAUCUGCCCUGUUCAAAUUGCUGCUCCCCCUCCCCUUCCCUCAGUUAGUUCCCAAACUAGUUUUUGGGAACAAGGCUAAAGGAAUGAGGAGAUAGGUAGAAAAAUGGCAAGUAUAACCUACUUGUGUGCUUGCUCCAGGCAAGUCAUUUCCAUGCCGUGUACCUGUCUUCGUCUUUCCUUCCCAUCUAUUGCCCCUCGUUUCAUUCCAAGUUCAUCAGUGCAGAAAUACCCUUCUUGCCAUUUCUGUCUCACAGGGGCUGGCUGGCAGAACAGGCUCAGCAACAGACCUCAGCUUUGUGAUUACACAGCAUGCCACAUCCAGGAACGUUGGUUUCCUCAUUAUGUCCUCUAAGUAGGAAAAUAUAUUCCCAUCCCUCCUUACCCUGGCUUUAAAAUAUUGUUAAGAAACUUGAAAGGCUCGGCCCACUUGUUUAAAGGCUUGUUGUAUUUUUGGAAGCGGAGUGUAUGGUGAGCAGGAAUAGUUUGAUAUUUGAAAAAUAUCCCCACUUGAGCAUUCCCCCGAGGUGUGGGAAGUCCUGUCUCCAUGGGUCUGUGCCAGCACUGUGACAGCCCAGCGAGCAAAGCCAGCUUGGAUAGGAAAAGAACUGGCCAGCCCUGUUUCAUCUGAUAGAAGAGAGGUGGAAACAAUAAACAUGGCAAAAGCUUCAGGGCCUAGUUGCUCAAAUUUAAUCUAUCUUUUUUUCCAGUGGCUACGUUUCUGCAUUUUGUGCUGGUUUUGUUGUCCAGAAGCUUUGCUUCUUCAGCAUUUCUGAUGGUCAGAACCAUGUGCUCUUCCAUGAUGUCAUUUUAGUUUGUUUGUAAUUCAUUGCUAGUCUUUAUCUGGUCUUUAUAUGAUCCAGAGCUGUUCUGUUUUGGGUUCUGAAUUCAAUCAAAGUUAGGGACUCUUGUAAAGCACAUCCAGACUCUAGGACUAAAAAA
RNAcentral lists this long non-coding RNA (5655 nucleotides) under Gallus gallus (chicken). RNAcentral describes it as "lncRNA (ENSGALG00010018886.1)". The record is from RNAcentral. Lineage: Eukaryota; Metazoa; Chordata; Aves; Galliformes; Phasianidae.